RNAcentral lists this ribosomal RNA (376 nucleotides) under uncultured organism. RNAcentral describes it as "bacterial SSU rRNA". It matches the Rfam family "Bacterial small subunit ribosomal RNA", at positions 526 to 896 of the family's 1533-position model. The record is from RNAcentral.
CGUAGGGGGGCGAGCGUCGUCCGGAAUUAUUGGGCGUAAAGAGCUCGUAGGCGGUUCGGCAAGUCACGUGUGAAAUCUCCACGCUCAACGUGGAGGCGCCACGUGAGACUGCUGUGACUCGAGUCCGGUAGGGGAGCGUGGAAUUCCCGGUGUAGCGGUGAAAUGCGCAGAGAUCGGGGGGAACACCCGUAGCGAAGGCGGCGCUCUGGGCCGGUACUGACGGCUGAGGAGCGAAAGCGUGGGGAGCAAACAGGAUUAGAUACCCUGGUAGUCCACGCCGUAAACGUUGGGCACUAGGUGUGGGGCUCUAUCGACGGGCUCCGUGCCGUAGCUAACGCAUUAAGUGCCCCGCCUGGGGAGUACGGCCGCAAGGCUA